UUUGAAGUGUAAUGUAAGUCGCUUUGGAUAAAAGCAUCUGCUAAAUGAACUGUA
Molecule: non-coding RNA, 54 nt
Organism: Gasterosteus aculeatus (three-spined stickleback)
Lineage: Eukaryota; Metazoa; Chordata; Actinopteri; Perciformes; Gasterosteidae
Source: Rfam